UGUUUCUGAGCUCUGGACGGAGUUCUCCGAAAUUGAUUUUUCUGGAACAGGUUUUGUUAGCAGUGAUGAAUUUAAAGACAUCCUUAUGAGUCUCUGUGUUCAUCUCAGCCAGUAUGAGUGUGAUCUGUUGGCCAAGAAGUUUGACAUCAACCAUGAUGGCAGCGUGUCCUACACAGAAUUCCUCAAGCCUUUUCUAUCCCAGAGUCAAAUAUGGAAGCAUGGAUCCAACAUGGCAGCUGCUCUGCAGACUCCCAGAGAAACUAAAGAAGUUGCCACUCCGGAAACAUUAAGUCGCAAGAUCAGGAAAAAGCUCCAGCGUAAGGCCAGGGCUCUUAGCAAGGCCUGUGCCCGGCUCGAUGGCUCUAGCACUGGGCUUCUGUCUGCAGCUGAGCUGGGUGCUGUGCUACAGCUGUUUGGAGUGUGUCAGAGCCAGGAAGAGCUGAGGAGUGUGCUCUCUACCCUUCACAAACACCCGUCUGGACUCCUGGACUACCGCCCGCUGCUAAUGGACAAACACAGGACAUCCAGUCACAACCAGCAGACCAAGCACCAGCUCAGCCAUAGGAGUCAAUAGGUCAGAGGUUUAAAACAAAUUUUAGCUACAUUGAGAAAUGCAAGAUACUAUUUCAACUAAACAUAUUAACCCAACUGGCUUCAUCCAUAAAUAAAGACGCACA
This 677-nucleotide long non-coding RNA is filed under the name Sinocyclocheilus grahami. RNAcentral's name for it is "lncRNA (ENSSGRG00000038964.1)". Lineage: Eukaryota; Metazoa; Chordata; Actinopteri; Cypriniformes; Cyprinidae. The record is from RNAcentral.